This 253-nucleotide ribosomal RNA is filed under the name uncultured bacterium. RNAcentral describes it as "partial 16S ribosomal RNA". It matches the Rfam family "Bacterial small subunit ribosomal RNA", at positions 524 to 776 of the family's 1533-position model. The record is from RNAcentral.
UACGAAGGGUGCUAGCGUUGCUCGGAAUUACUGGGCGUAAAGCGCACGUAGGCGGACUCUUAAGUCGGCGGUGAAAUCCUGGAGCUCAACUCCAGAACUGCCUUCGAUACUGGGAGUCUCGAGUUCGGGAGAGGUGAGUGGAAUUGCGAGUGUAGAGGUGAAAUUCGUAGAUAUUCGCAAGAACACCAGUGGCGAAGGCGGCUCACUGGCCCGAUACUGACGCUGAGGUGCGAAAGCGUGGGGAGCAAACAGG